Molecule: ribosomal RNA, 249 nt
Filed under: uncultured bacterium
Lineage: Bacteria
Description: partial 16S ribosomal RNA
Rfam family: Bacterial small subunit ribosomal RNA
Source: RNAcentral
UACAGAGGUCCCAAGCGUUGUUCGGAUUCACUGGGCGUAAAGCGUGCGCAGGCGGUGAUGUAAGACAGAUGUGAAAUCCCCCGGGCUCAACCUGGGAACUGCAUUUGUGACUGCAUCGCUGGAGUGCGGCAGAGGGGGAUGGAAUUCCGCGUGUAGCAGUGAAAUGCGUAGAUAUGCGGAGGAACACCGAUGGCGAAGGCAAUCCCCUGGGCCUGCACUGACGCUCAUGCACGAAAGCGUGGGGAGCAA